This 486-nucleotide unclassified non-coding RNA is filed under the name uncultured Bartonella sp. RNAcentral describes it as "partial 16S-23S ribosomal RNA intergenic spacer". The stretch from base 85 to 158 matches the Rfam family "tRNA". Lineage: Bacteria; Pseudomonadati; Pseudomonadota; Alphaproteobacteria; Hyphomicrobiales; Bartonellaceae. The record is from RNAcentral.
GAAAUGAUGCUUUUAUGAGAUAGAGCUUUUUUAGAUAAUGCUUUUUUAGAUAAUGCUGGGGAAGGUUUUCCGGUUUAUCUCGGAGGGCUUGUAGCUCAGUUGGUUAGAGCGCGCGCUUGAUAAGCGUGAGGUCGGAGGUUCAAGUCCUCCCAGGCCCACCAAUUUACCUAUCCAUUUGCCUUUAUCCGUUUAUUUGCCGAUUUAUCGGUCCAUUGAAUUUAAGUGUUGGUAGCAGUUUUUAUAAUGAUGAGAAAUCAUGCUUAUAAAAAAACUCCUUAUAAAAGGCUUGUUUUUAAAAUGUGACGCUUAUCCAUUUCGCUUAGGCAAGAGAAACUUCAAGCGGUUCAAAUGCAAAAGGCUUUAAAUUUUGCAAAACAAUUUGAAUUUUAAAGUGAUCCAAGUUCGUGAUCUCGAAUUUGAAAGUUUCGAAUGCUUUAUCCUUUUUUGGGGGCCGUAGCUCAGCUGGGAGAGCACCUGCUUUGCAAG